Molecule: small nuclear RNA, 18 nt
Filed under: Arabidopsis thaliana (thale cress)
Lineage: Eukaryota; Viridiplantae; Streptophyta; Magnoliopsida; Brassicales; Brassicaceae
Description: snRNA_18527
Source: RNAcentral
UGAAUGGAUUAACGAGAU